CUUUCCCCAAAGCAAAUAGAACAGCUGCAGAAGGACACCAGUUCAUAAAGGUGUCACAAUGGGACCCUCAUGUCAUCAAAUAUAUUACAUUAGCAUGUUUUAUAUCUCCUGUAGCAACCAGUAACAACAAUUAAUCACAUUACUGAUCAUUGUGAAAACAUUAUCGUUAAGCAAUCAUCAUUUAAAUUAUUACCUAUUACAUCCAGCUGUUUGUGCUACUAAACGUGAAUUGGGAUGCUAGGAGAAGGACUUGUUUUAGAAUGCCUUUGCCUGGAGGGAGAGUGGACAAGCCAGGUGUGGGCUCAGCGCUUGUGGGUCACUGCUCUCAAUUCUGUAGCUGGUCCAAUAAGAGUUGACCUUCUUACCCAUUACAAGCCUUCCCAGCCAUAUAGCCAGUAACAAACAGGAUUUCUUCCACACUCCCAUCUUUAUGUGAAGAGGCAUUGUGGUGCUUAUUGGGAUCUUCCUAACCAACAACCGUCCAGUGUGUUUGUCUGUCUAAGCAGCUCUACAGAUGAGAUGACCAGUGGUAAUUGUGACUGGACAUAGACUACAUCCUCUUCCAGAUAAAACUCCAGACCAUCACAUCCCAUAACUCAAUCUGGAGCCAAACUGCAACCUCAGAUUUGAGUCCUUUGAAUCUCCCUUUGAAACUUGCUGUUACUGAUUCUGGGCCAGCUUCCAAGUGAGAACAAAUCAACUUCCUGUUCUGGAUAAUGCAUUUUCAUGCCAGCAGCUGCGUGUGCCUGACAGUGUCUAGGAAUCUGGGGCUUAGGUCUCCAUGGUGAUCUAAUGUGCGCCUGUACGUUUCUGCAGUCCUCAGUGUCAGGUCAUCUAGUCUUAAAAACACUCUAACAAUAAAAAGUACAUGUAACUUAAAUCUGUGCCUAGAUCUGUUGUUUCUGAGGGACUAAUGUCAAAAGCACAAAAACCAGUCCAACUGGUAAUAAUUAUCACUCCAAGAAGUCACUGCAAAAGGCCAAGUACUCUUGGAGAUUUGAAGUCGCAUCUGAUUCAUAGAUGUGGUCCUUUCAAGUCAAGGUAGAAGGGCUAU
Molecule: long non-coding RNA, 1054 nt
Organism: Alligator mississippiensis (American alligator)
Lineage: Eukaryota; Metazoa; Chordata; Crocodylia; Alligatoridae
Exons: 3
Source: RefSeq, a predicted model, not a curated record